This 307-nucleotide ribosomal RNA is filed under the name Mesabolivar yuruani. RNAcentral describes it as "partial 12S ribosomal RNA". Lineage: Eukaryota; Metazoa; Arthropoda; Arachnida; Araneae; Pholcidae. The record is from RNAcentral.
UAAAGAAUGACAGUUAUGUUUUCAUUAGAGAAACUUGUUUUUUAAUCGUAAAUUCCCGGUAAUUUUAACUUCGUCUUAAAGUUUACAUACCGCCGUUACAAGAAAUUAAUAUAAAAACAACUUCACAAAAAUUCUCUUAAAAAAUCAGGUCAAGGUAUAACCAAUGAAAAAGUAAAAAUUAGUUACAUGUAACAAAAAAUUAAGAAAACGCUUUCUUAAAAAAGCAAGAAAUAGAAUCUAAUAACAAAAUAUUAUUAAAAAUAAUAAUUGAAAAACUAUAACGUAAUGUACACAUCGCCCGGUCGCU